AUGAGUGUAUUUCGUUUACCGGCUUCGGUCUGUGAUGAUCUAACCCGAAUGAUGAGGCGGUAUUGGUGGGGAGUGGAGAAUGAAAAAAAAAGAUGGCUUGGCUUAGCUAGGAAAAAAUGAUGUUACCCAAGGCUAGGGGGUAUGGGGUUUAGAGAUAUGAGGGCAUUCAACUAGGCGUUGUUGGCUAAGCAAGCCUGGCGUCUGUUGGACACCCCAGACAGCUUAUGUGCUCGUCUACUCCGGGCAAAAUAUUACCUAGGCCACCUACUCGACAUGGUCUUUCCGAGCAGCUCGUCGGCAGUUUGGAAAGGAAUUGUUUAUGGAUUGGAUCUUCUGAAGAAAAGUGUUAUUUGGCGCGUUGGAGAUGAUUCUCUAAUUAAAACAUGGCGUGACCCCUGGAUCACAUGGGGUCAUGAUUACAGGCCUGUCACGCCGAAGAGAAACUGUAGACUCAAUUGUGUUGCCAAUUUUAUUGAUGAACAUGGAGCAUGGGACGUUCAGAGGCUUCGGCAACAUUUCUGGGACUUGGAUGUUCGUGAGAUAAUUAAAAUCCGAACCUCUCCAAGGAAUAGAAAUGAUUUUAUUGCUUGGCAUCCGGAGAAGAGCGGACAAUUUACUGUCAGGAGUGCUUACCGUUUGGCAACUGAUGAGGAGAACCAUGUCGUGGCGACAGGUGCGGCGAGUAUUAAUCCGUCCAGCCAUCAACCUAUCUGGCAGUGUAUAUGGGGUGCCCAGGUACCCCUUAAAAUGAGAAUAAUGGCAUGGAAAGUGGUUUCGGGUGCACUGUCAACAAAGUCGUGCAAAAAGUAUAGACAUAUUUCAAAGAAGUAUCUUUUAUUGGGGUACGUAGUAAUUUUAAAAAAUUUCCUACGCACACGCAAGAUCAUGGUGAUGCAUAGCAACGAGAGGGGAGAGUGUCGUCCAUGUACCCUCAUAGACCGUAAGCGGAAGCGUUAUGACAAUGCGGUUGAUGUAGUCGUACAUCUUCACGAUCGACCGAUCCUAGUACCGAACGUACGGCACCUCCGCGAUCUGCACACGUUCAGCUCGGUGACCUCCCACGAACUCACGAUCCAGUGA
Molecule: ribosomal RNA, 1080 nt
Filed under: Triticum aestivum (bread wheat)
Lineage: Eukaryota; Viridiplantae; Streptophyta; Magnoliopsida; Poales; Poaceae
Description: partial small subunit ribosomal RNA
Source: RNAcentral